RNAcentral lists this long non-coding RNA (1056 nucleotides) under Pan troglodytes (chimpanzee). RNAcentral describes it as "lincRNA". Lineage: Eukaryota; Metazoa; Chordata; Mammalia; Primates; Hominidae. The record is from RNAcentral.
GUCACAGUAGGAAUUGGAGUCGGGGGGGAGGGGACGGGGUGGAGGGGGAAUUACCAUUAGCAGUUGAAGUGGCAGGAAAUUUUUACAUAGGAGAGUAUGGUGAUCAUAUUUGCAUUUUAGAAAAUAAUGGAUAGCAGUUUGUUAGGGGAACAAAGGACAGAGACAGGGAGACUAUUUAAAACAUUAAUAAAAAAUACCCGUGACAGAUGAUGAGGCAUCUACCUGAUGGGAAUGGAGAAGAGGAGAUGGAUUCAGAAACUACUUAGGAGAGGCAGGCAGUCCAAGGCUGAUGCCCAAAGAAGCCAUCAAGACCCGUGCUACUUCCAGCUCCUUCUGUCCUCAUAAUCAUAGAUGAUUGCUCCACAUCCAGCACCUAACACCAGUACUCAGUUAAAUUUUUUGCUGAAUAAAUCAAUGAAUGGAGAGGUAAAGAGGAACCAGAAGUUGGGGUUACAGAAGUCACUGAUGGAAGAGUUUCAAGAUAGUAGAAGUGGUCAGCCCUGUUAAGUGACAAGCCAAGGACUGAAGAAAGACUGGCAGAUUUGGCAAUCAGAUGAAGUGACCUGACCAAAGAGCAGCUUGUGUGAAGUAGUGAGGACAGGCGCUGGUCUGCGACUGGUUUAGGAGGAAAUGGAAAUGAGGAAGAAGAGAUAGGAAAGUGGAGAUUAUAUGAUGACAAGUAUCAAGAUAAAAAUGAACACAUUUGGCCUGCUACCUGAAUUUUUUAAAUCGGCUCACCAAAAAAUAUCAGGCUUAUUGAAAUAUUGGAAUAUCUGAUGAAGUUUCCUCUUAUCUUUGAGCUGUUUGGGUUUGGGUAAAACUUCAAUGCUUAAAAUUCACGUCUACAACUAGCAGGCAGAAACUUAAAGUCCAGAACCAUUAAGGGGUUUAAUAAUGGUGAGGCAUAUGAUGAUGCUGAUGAUGAUAAUGUUUCUUUCUUUCUUUUGUGAUCUUAAUCACUGUGUGAUCUUAACUAGUUUGAAAUGAGAAUUUCAAUGGAGACAGUAGUGUAAAUUUACCAACAGAACAAUUACAGUUGUGACAAAUCAAAAACUA